AGGGGAGCAGUGGGUUUCACAGUGAGUGCGAGCAGGAGCUUCAGUUUGGAGCUCAUCUUGAAAGCUCUCAUCUUGAGAGCUCUACACCUGCCAGAAAGCCAGACCAGGAUGAGUUUAGUUCCCAGGCCGCUGUUGCAGAGCCCAGCGGGGCCAGGUCUGCCUAGCCUAGGAAAUAGGAAGCCUGAAGAUGGAUGCCAGGUCCCUAAGCUGGAAUCCAACACCCUGAGGCUCAGCUACCAUGCUGGGCUCAAAGCUUAAGGCUGUCAGAUACUCAGUGGGCAGCUGAUCAGAGCAAUGCUCUCUGCCCCUACCCUUUCCUAGAAGCUCAUCUGUCUAGUGAGCAAAAGUGAGGAAGGUUCUGAAGGAAAAUCCAAGAGGCAGGCUAGUGAUAGAACAUUGGACUAGCUCCCACUGUGGCUGACACCAUGGCCUGCAGCUGUUCCAGAGGCAUACUGUACUCAAUGUCUACUAGAGGAUCCGUAGGAUUCUCAACACAAAACCAGGCCACAAUUCCAGAAAGCAGCAUCCAGGGGUUGUAUCCAUCAGAAGACUGGAUGGGGAGGCCAUCUCUGUGCUUAACCUACCCAAUGACCCACAUCCUCAGAUGCAGGUACACAUGUAGCCCAGCAUUACCUGCUAAGAUGAAUUGCAGCUUAGAGGCAUCAGGUAUGGCAAUGCGGUCGAUGUACUCAGGAUCCAGGUACUUGAUCAUAUCUUCAACUAGAAAAGUAGCGAGGUGGAAAAUGGAAUAGGGUUGGGGAGUAGAGCUGUCUUAUGUAGGAUGUUUGUCAGGUGGUCAGCCUUGAGGAGAGCCUUCAAUGAAGAGCUGAUACCCAACAGUGCCACAUGAGAAGGGCUCCACCAGGCUCCCUAUCCCCACUUCUCUAUCUCCCCACUCUCUUCUCUUGAGGUCUCUUCUGACCUCAAGCUUCAGAGCUGAAAACACAAUUGCCACCAACACUCUGGGCCCUCAGCAUUCUCACUGACCUAUCCUCACCAAGGCCUCUUUUCUCCUAGAUGCCACCAAGACAAGUCAGAGCUUUGUCUAAUUUCUAGUUACUAAGCAGGUUACUAGCUCUGACAUAACCAGGCUCUCAGUGUCUAAUUUGUUUCCUGCCUCUUAACCUUGCCUGGGAAAUCCCAAACCCUGUUUACCCUCCUUCAGCAAGAGAAGCUUUCAGGCAGAGCACUUAUUUCAUAACUAAGGACACAGUCAUGGGCUUGAGGUUUAUCCACAAGGUAGAAAAGCACACCUCAAUUUACCAAUUAAAUUGGGUGCAGGUAAGUGUCCCCGUAAUCUUUCUAUCCCCAAAGGGCUUUUCCAGUGACCUAUUGAACUGAAGGGGCAGGGCCAGGUCCCAGGAAGCCUAGGGAUGGGAUGUUGGGCAGGUAGGCAUAUCAUGGAAGCACUUACUCUUUUUGUACAGAAUCUUCACCCUUUCCCUCUUGCUGGCAAUGUUCCCCAAAGCCACCUGCACCUUGACCAGGCUGUCAGCCACCUGUAAGGGAAGUGGCAGUUAAUUGCAAGAUAUACUACCUGGCUCAAGGCUUGGAAGAGGUAAAGAACCCUUUUUCUCCCAGAUUCUCUAGGUUGGCUUCCCUUCUCUAAUACUAAAGGAAAUGCAGCCCCACCUUCUAGGAAUCCUUAAAGUGGAGAGAGAGAGUCAUGUACUCCUUGGGGAGAUUCAAAUAUGGGGGAGAUAAUGAACUAUUUUAGAGUUUUUGGAAUAUAUUGUAUACACAAUAUAUUUUCUAGUUCCUAAGCCCUGGGUUUGGGCAUGAGAAAUGCAAGCAUUCUCAUUCAAGCCUUCAUGACCUCUAGACUGGCUGGCCUACAUCUAGUCCUAUCCCCUCCAAAAUAACUUUAGUGUGGGAGAUGUAAGAGUCCAAGACAAUUGGGAUCCCAAUGAUGGUGAAAUCACUGAAUUAGGGAAUACAGAAGAAAACUGGGUUAGGGGAGAGGAGGAGUACAGUUAAGAACCUAUGAAUUGAAUGUGAGGUGCCUAUUGGAUAUCCAAGUGGAAAAGAAUCCAGUAAACAACUGGACAUACAAGUCUUGUUCUCAGAACAGAAAUCUGCACCAGAGAUAUACAUUUGAGACACAUUGACAUGCAAAUAGUAAUUGACACUAUGAAGGCGAGUGAGCCUACCUAAAGUUUAGGGGUAGAAUGUAAGGAAUCCCAGUAUUAAAGGGUAAAAUGGAGGACACUAAGGAAGUGACUGCACUCACCCAGUCUUUAGGGCAGAGGGUGAGGAAUGCGAGUAGGGAGGCAAAUAAUUCUGAGAAGCAGCAGUGAGAGGUAGAAGGUAAACCAGGAGGGUGAGCAUCAAAGAUCCCAAAGGAAGAGAAUGUUGGGAAGUUAGUUCUGAAAUGGGAGCAGUCUGCUACUGGCAACUAAUUCCUCCUUUCGUGUACAAACAGACAUCAUUAUCUUGGAUGCACUUAGCUCCAGGAUAUGCCUGACACGUCAUCAGAAGUUCUUCAGUAAAAGGUCUUCCCACAGUGGAAAUGGGAGGAGAGGGCACCUGAGCUUCGUAGUUGUCAAAAUUCCACCACUAGUAUAAAGUAGUGCUAGUCCACAUCUGAAUACCUAGUACUCAUUCCUUCCUAAUCCUGGCUCUUUCAGACCUCACCUCUCAUCCUUUGGACCUUUCCUUAUGCACCUCUGCUCUGUCUCCUCAGGGGUCCCAUGGACCUCUUCCUGCACAAUUCAUUUGGCAAUUAAUUACGCAGGGCUCCAUGACGGGCCUUCCUAUCAUGGACUUCAGCUCUUAUUGAAACUCAUUAGUCAGCUUCUCGAGUGUGCCAGGUCUCCCCUACUAGCCCGCGAGGGCAAGGGCGGAACGGAGUCUUAGUCAGAGUAGGUACUGAGCCCACUCUCAGGCUUAACCACUUGCAGAGCCCCCUAUGAGAAUGGACCCCCGAGGGUCCAAUCGGCUCUGGGAGGUCCCUGACCUUUGUUAUUUCAAAGGCUGGGCUGUGGAGAACAGGACUGGAGCGGUUGCAUCCCGAAGGCCACGACAGUGGACCGCUAUUGCUCUGCUCCGGAAACGGACCAUCGGACCAGACUACUCACC
Long non-coding RNA from Callithrix jacchus (white-tufted-ear marmoset), 3078 nucleotides. RefSeq lists it as uncharacterized. The record is from RefSeq and is a predicted model, not a curated record. Lineage: Eukaryota; Metazoa; Chordata; Mammalia; Primates; Cebidae.